GGGACUAUGGUGUAACGGUUAGCACAGCAGUUUGUGGAACUGCGGGCGAGAGUUCAACUCUCUCUAGUCCCCCA
This 74-nucleotide transfer RNA is filed under the name Candidatus Yanofskybacteria bacterium RIFCSPHIGHO2_02_FULL_38_22b. RNAcentral's name for it is "tRNA-His". It matches the Rfam family "tRNA". From Rfam's summary of the family: Transfer RNA (tRNA) molecules are approximately 80 nucleotides in length. The record is from RNAcentral. Lineage: Bacteria; Candidatus Yanofskyibacteriota. RNAcentral also lists the same sequence under 1 other name.